Molecule: microRNA precursor, 103 nt
Filed under: Marmota monax (woodchuck)
Lineage: Eukaryota; Metazoa; Chordata; Mammalia; Rodentia; Sciuridae
Source: RNAcentral
AGGGGAAUAGCAGGGUCAAUUGGUGGUUCCAUUCCCAGCUUUCGAAGAAAUAUCCAUACUGCUUUCCAAAUUGGCUGCACCAAUUUGCAGUCCCACCAGCAAU